This 492-nucleotide ribosomal RNA is filed under the name uncultured bacterium. Its description in RNAcentral is "partial 16S ribosomal RNA". It matches the Rfam family "Bacterial small subunit ribosomal RNA", at positions 29 to 507 of the family's 1533-position model. The record is from RNAcentral.
AGUGAACGCUGGCGGUAGGCCUAACACAUGCAAGUCGAACGGCAGCACAGUAAGAGCUUGCUCUUACGGGUGGCGAGUGGCGGACGGGUGAGGAAUACAUCGCAAUCUACUUUUUCUUGGGGGAUAACGUAGGGAAACUUACGCUAAUACCGCAUACUACCUACGGGUGAAAGCAGGGGUUCUUCGGACCUUUCGCGAUUGAUUGAGCCGAUGUCGGAUUAGCUAGUUGGCGUGGUAAAGGCCCACCAAGGCAACGAUCCGUAGCUGGUCUGAGAGGAUGAUCAGCCACACUGGAACUGAGACACGGUCCAGACUCCUACGGGAGGCAGCAGUGGGGAAUAUUGGACAAUGGGCGCAAGCCUGAUCCAGCCAUACCGCGUGGGUGAAGAAGGCCUUCGGGUUGUAAAGCCCUGUUGUUGGGAAAGAAAAGCAGCAGGUGAAUACCCCGCUGUUCUGACGGUACCCAAAGAAUAAGCACCGGCUAACUUCGUG